UUAAUCACAGUUUUUUUCAUGCAUCUUGGCAUUAUGUUCUCCUCCACCAGUCUUACACACUGAUUUUGGAUAACUUUAUGCUGCUUUACUCCUGGUAUAAAAAUUCAAGCAGUUCAGUUUGGUGGUUUGAUGGCUUGUGAUCAUCCGUCUUCCUCUUGAUUAUAUUCCAGAGGUUUUCAAUUUGGUAAAAUUAAAGAAACCCAUAAUUUUUAAGGUGUCUCUUAUUAUAUAUUAUUUUUUUCCAGAGCUGAUAUAUUUUUAUAUGUGAUAUUAAAAUACAGCAGCAGUGUGAUUCUGUCUGAACAACUAGAUCAGAAUUCAUGCAACCUUUAUAUCAAAGAAAAGGAUAAAAGGAUGUGCAUAUAGAAGGGAAAUUGAUUGUUCAGGGUUUCUAAUAAAAUGCAUUAAUGUGGCCAGAAGAGGG
Astyanax mexicanus (Mexican tetra) is the source of this 424-nucleotide long non-coding RNA. RefSeq lists it as uncharacterized. The transcript is spliced from 2 exons. The record is from RefSeq and is a predicted model, not a curated record. NCBI's taxonomy places the organism in Eukaryota, Metazoa, Chordata, Actinopteri, Characiformes, Acestrorhamphidae.